This 464-nucleotide ribosomal RNA is filed under the name uncultured bacterium. Its description in RNAcentral is "partial 16S ribosomal RNA". It matches the Rfam family "Bacterial small subunit ribosomal RNA", at positions 338 to 795 of the family's 1533-position model. The record is from RNAcentral.
CCUACGGGAGGCUGCAGUAGGGAAUUUUCGUCAAUGGGCGCAAGCCUGAACGAGCAAUGCCGCGUGAACGAGGAAGGUCUUCGGAUCGUAAAGUUCUGUUGAAGGGGAAAAAGAGCGGAGAGAGGAAAUGCUUUCUGAUUGAUAUUACCCUUCGAGGACGUCACGGCUAACUACGUGCCAGCAGCCGCGGGAAUACGUAGGUGGCGAGCGUUAAUCGGAUUGAUUGGGCGUAAAGGGUGCGUAGGCGGCCUGCUAAGUCUGGAGUAAAAGGUACGGGCUGAACCGGAACAAGCUCUGGAAACUGGCGAGCUAGAGAGCAGGAGAGGGAGGUGGAACUCGAUGUGUAGCGGUAAAAUGCGUAGAUAUAUGGAAGAACACCAGUGGCGAAGGCGGCCGCCUGGCCUGUUACUGACGCUGAGGCACGAAAGCGUGGGUAGCAAAUAGGAUUAGAUACCCGGGUAGUC